CGAAUUCGCCUGUCGAGAGUGUCGAGACGCCUUGUUUCCAAAGCGGCGAACGAUAUAUCAGCCUGGACAUCUGUGAACCGCGACGGUAAUUUUCCUCGUUAAUUCGACACUGUUUGAACAUCGAUCCUCUCGUCGAUCGUAAAAGACGAACGUUAAGCUAAGUGGAUUGUCAGGAUUUGGAACUAGAGAAAUUCAUAGUAUCGUAAUUUAAGUCUCGCGUCCCUUUACUGGUGCAUUUGGUGAUGGGAUUAGGUGGAAAAAAACGUGGGGCCAUAAGUGGCGUUCGAUUGGCAUCGGGCAGUCAGUUCAGCGGCGCGAGAGAGACGAUAAAUCUGUGGGACAAGGAUCGAUAGGCGUGCGAUUUCGACGCUUCGAAGAAUCGUUCGAGCGUUCGCGUCCCGCUGCUCGCGACACAUCGAUUAAACGUGAUUUCGUCGCUCGUGAACAAUCGUUCGACCGUUAUCGUUACCUGCGACGGAUCGAUUAAACGCGAUUUCGAUACUUACGAGAGUCGUUGGAGCGUAACGAUGACGACGAGAAGGAGAAGGUACACGGUCGUCGCGACGCUUCUCCUCUCUCGAAAGCUCGUCUCGAAAGUUCCGUGAACUGCGUUACGCGAACGGUACUUGGCUAACUGUUCUCCGGACGCGGUUUUCGAAUCCACUUCCGGCAGGACAGUUGGCGUCAAAUUGCAGCGACAAAUGUCCGCGCGGAAUGGACAUUAACCCGAAAAGCGGCUCUCCGCUUGCUCUGCUUUGAUGUUCGCGCGGAUAAUUGUAGUUACCGCCUCGUCAAAAGACUCAUUACGUGUCACGGCACUUAUUACACCGUAAUUAUAAUACGACCCUGCUCUCU
Molecule: unclassified non-coding RNA, 855 nt
Filed under: Bombus terrestris (buff-tailed bumblebee)
Lineage: Eukaryota; Metazoa; Arthropoda; Insecta; Hymenoptera; Apidae
Description: misc RNA ENSBTSG00005025212.1
Source: RNAcentral